This 788-nucleotide ribosomal RNA is filed under the name uncultured archaeon. RNAcentral's name for it is "bacterial SSU rRNA". It matches the Rfam family "Archaeal small subunit ribosomal RNA", at positions 85 to 876 of the family's 1478-position model. The record is from RNAcentral.
ACGGCUCAGUAACACGUGGUCAACAUACCCAGAGGACGUGGAUAACCUCGGGAAACUGAGGAUAAACCGCGAUAGACCAUAAUGUCUGGAAUGAUUUAUGGUUCAAAUCUACAUGGCCUCUGGAUUGGACUGCGGCCGAUCAGGCUGUUGGUGAGGUAAUGGCCCACCAAACCUGAAACCGGUACGGGCUCUGAGAGGAGAAGCCCGGAGAUGGGCACUGAGACAAGGGCCCAGGCCCUAUGGGGCGCAGCAGGCGCGAAAUCUUUGCAAUAGGCGAAAGCCUGACAAGGUUACUCUGAGUGAUCUCCGCUAAGGAAAUCUUUUGACACCUCUAAAAAUGGUGUAGAAUAAGGGGUGAGCAAGCCUGGUGUCAGCCGCCGCGGUAAUACCAGCACCCCGAGUGGUCGGGACGAUUAUUGGGCCUAAAGCAUCCGUAGCCGGUUCCUUAAGUCCUCCGUUAAAUCCACCUGCUUAACAGAUGGGCUGCGGAGGAUACUAUAGAGCUAGGAGGCGGGAGAGGCAAGCGGUACUCAGUGGGUAGGGGUAAAAUCCGUUGAUCCAUUGAAGACCACCAGUGGCGAAGGCGGCUUGCCAGAACGCGCUCGACGGUGAGGGAUGAAAGCUGGGGGAGCAAACCGGAUUAGAUACCCGGGUAGUCCCAGCUGUAAACGAUGCAGACUCGGUGAUGAACAGGCUUCGUGCCUGUUCAGUGCCGCAGGGAAGCCGUUAAGUCUGCCGCCUGGGGAGUACGGUCGCAAGACUGAAACUUAAAGGAAUUGGCGGGGGAG